This is an RNA transcript of Chelonia mydas (Green sea turtle), 10589 nucleotides long. It is a transcript of the gene named paraspeckle component 1, with no coding region annotated. NCBI's taxonomy places the organism in Eukaryota, Metazoa, Chordata, Testudines, Cheloniidae. The transcript is spliced from 9 exons. The record is from RefSeq and is a predicted model, not a curated record.
GGCUUUCCUCAGAGACGUUAACUCGUUCGGGCUGGCGCCGCCGCCAUUUUGAAUUCGCUCGCUGGUGGUCCGGUCAGUGGUUGCGGCGGCUCCGUGACCCCCUCAGAGCGCGAGAGAGACCGAAACAUGGCAGCGAACAGCCGGAACUUGAAACAAGUGCGGAUCGAAAACAGCUCCCCGGCGGCCCCGCUCGGCAUGGUGGGGGGCGGCGGCCUGAAGGGGAUGCGGGGCCUGGAGGCGGACAGCGAGGUAGGGGCCAUGGCGCCGGGCAAAGAGGCUGGCGACGAGGAGCGGGAGGUCGGGUUCACCAUCGACAUCAAGAGCUUCCUCAAGCCCGGCGAAAAGAGCUACACGCAGCGCUGCCGCCUCUUCGUGGGGAACCUGCCCACCGACAUCACCGAGGAGGACUUCAAGCGCCUCUUCGAGCGCUACGGGGAGCCCAGCGAGGUCUUUAUCAACCGCGACCGCGGCUUUGGCUUCAUCCGCCUGGAAUCUAGAACACUGGCUGAAAUAGCAAAGACAGAACUUGAUGGUACUAUUUUGAAGAGUAGACCACUUCGAAUUCGAUUUGCUACACAUGGAGCUGCCUUAACAGUCAAGAAUCUUUCACCUGUGGUUUCCAAUGAGCUUCUGGAACAAGCUUUUUCUCAAUUUGGUCCAGUGGAGAGGGCUGUUGUUGUAGUAGAUGACCGUGGCAGAGCUACAGGAAAAGGUUUUGUAGAGUUUGCAGCAAAACCUCCGGCAAGGAAGGCUCUAGAGAGAUGCAGUGAUGGGGCAUUCUUACUAACAACAACACCUCGACCUGUUGUUGUAGAACCUAUGGAACAAUUUGAUGAUGAAGAUGGGCUACCAGAGAAAUUAAUGCAGAAAACACAACAGUAUCAUAAGGAAAGAGAGCAGCCUCCACGUUUUGCUCAACCUGGAACAUUUGAAUUUGAGUAUGCUUCCCGAUGGAAGGCUCUUGAUGAGAUGGAAAAGCAGCAGCGAGAACAGGUUGACAGGAACAUUAGAGAAGCCAAAGAGAAACUAGAAGCGGAAAUGGAAGCAGCUAGACAUGAACAUCAGUUAAUGCUGAUGAGGCAAGAUCUCAUGAGGCGCCAGGAAGAACUGAGACGUUUGGAAGAACUUAGAAAUCAAGAGUUACAGAAACGCAAGCAAAUACAAUUGAGACAUGAAGAAGAACAUCGACGUCGUGAAGAAGAGAUGCUACGCCAGAGAGAACAGGAAGAACUGAGACGACAGCAGGAAGGAGGAUUUAAACCAAAUUUCUUGGACAAUAAACAGACACUGCACAGCAGAAGUGCUCCUUGGAAUUCUACCCACCUCUGCGAUAGCACUGAUAUCAUGGUGGAAGCUGUGAUUGGUGACUUCCAGAACAACAAGAAGAAAUACGUUUAUAAAAUUGCUUUGGCAGAAAAAUUCCUCCUUCAGAGUUAUAGGUUUGGAAAAACUAAGGUAUACUCUUUUAAUUCUCCCAUUCCUAUAAUACUCGAGUUUCUGCCAGUAACAAGUAAUGUGACAUCAUUCUCAGUAAGGGAUAGACUCAGUUAAAUACGAAAUAUAAAUUGAACUGAUUACCACAUCCCAAUUAUACAAAAAUGUAGAUAAAUGGAAUGUGGCAACAGACAGCUCUCAUGGGUUUAAAAUUCCUUAUAAAUUAUUUUAAGGCAAAAGCCAUUAAGCUAGUAUUACCAGAUUUAUCAACUCUUUAAGUUUUAAAAACACCUCAUUCAAGUAAAGAAAUGGAGCCAGACUGGAUGAAUGUUCCUCACUAGAUACAUUUCUCAAGUCUUCCAAUAAAAAAGUGAGGUCAGAAUUAGGAGUAAAAGACUCCUUGCCUUUCAUUCUCCAAAACGACCUCUAUAUUUGUUACAGUUUUAGUUUAUAUAAAAUCUUGGUGGUAAUAGGGCUUUUUCUGGUCAUUUGCUGUUACAAGAUUUUAUACUGCCUUCACAAGAGAGAGAGCAGAAAUAGGACUUAAGUAGUAAUUAAGAGUAAACCUGUUAAAGGUGAGCAGGAAUAUGAAUGUAGAGUGAAGGAAGCAAUAAAGCUCAUUGAAAGAUUUGCUAUUUUAGCACCACUCAGGGAGAGACUGAUGUCACAAGAACAAACCAUGCUGUAAUCUUGAUAACAGCUUUGUUCUAUUCACUUUCCAAACAAACCAACUUAUCAAGUUAAACAAGGCUGUAUAUUUCAUUUGCUCUAACAGUUCUCUUAUGACUCAGCCUGAGAUAAACUUCUGAAUUGAAAACUCCGUGUGCCCUCACAGUAGAGAAGUUUUCAAGAUGGAUGGCAAUGCAUGCUAAAUUGUACUAGAAUCAAACAUAAGAUUGGAGAGCAUUCCUCGUUUUGCAUGAUGGCAGUAUACAGUGAAGGUUAGAAAAAGGUAGCUUUUAAGCUCUCACUUAAUUGUCAAUUCCACAUGCUGCUUCAUAUAUAUGUUUAUUUUAAACGUAUAGUUGAUGCUUUUUUGAGUAGUGUCCCUGUAUGUGCUCCACUUCAGGUGCACCUGAGCCCUAUGCCUUUGAUUGAAAAUUUUUGGUAGUAGUGCUUGUGCUGCCUGCUCAUUUAGACCCCACACAUUCUCAUGCCUGGUGCUGAGGCUAUAUGGGGCUGUGUAGGCAAACUGCCCUCAGUUCCUUCAGAGCUCCCUUUAGCGUCUACUGUGUGCCUGUUCUCUAAUAUUUAGCUUUUUCUCACUUAGUUACCUUAUAGUGAUAGUUGUUGGAACAACUGUUCCCUCAGGGAUUUUUUUCCUUAAAAAAGCCAAAUGUUUUAUUCACAGAGACAGUUAUAUAGUUUGGAGAUUUCCCCUUCCAGGGGUUACAUUUUCAUUAGUUUUUCUUGGGACAGCUGGGCUCCCAUUCAAGAGAUGCCUCUACUAUUGUGUGGCUAUUCCAAUAAGUGAUGGACAUUCUUAGUGCCUCUGCUGUCUGGAUGAUAUUCAUAUCCCCAAUAACUGCAGGAUCUGCACUUUCUUCAAAGAUAGAUUUUAAAAAAUAGAGAAAGUAUCAGCUCCUAAUGAUGGAGAAAGCUUUAGGUCCUGUGUCGGAUGUAGGAGCGGAGGAUCCACUCCUCCACCCCCCAAUACAUUGAACUCCCAGUAUAGGUAGUGCCCCGUUCAAUCAAUGUCUGAGUCACUGGAGACUGGUAGAGAGGUAGGCAGCACUGUGGCACAGAGUACAUCUAUGGUCCUUAUUUACAUCUGGCUCUAAGCAGGAGGAGGAAAGGAAUAAAUCUCACGGGCAAAUAUGGCUAUUUAAAUUACAACAAAUUAUAUUCUUUAAUGAGUGUCUGCCAGAAGAACAUCAAGAGCAAUUUAAGUCCAUUAUACAAGGGGGUCAGCUCCUGGCAUCACUCCAGGCCCCCUUGGAUGGGGCACAUAAGACAGCACAGUCUAACUCCACUGCAGUGGUUAUGAGAAGAGCAUCUUGGCUAUAGCUGUCGGGCUUUCCAAGAGAGGUUCAUAGUACUGUCAUAGACCUCCCCUUUGACAGUCGCAGUCUCUUUGCAGACUUGAUGGAUGCCUCUCUCCACAUUUUAAAAGACUCAAGAGCCACACUGUGAUCACUAGGGAUUUAAAGAUCUGUAAAUAAAAGAUUUAGUAGGUCUGGUACUGCACAAGGAGCAUACCAAGCCCUGUAUUCAACAUACCAUAGACGAGGAAUAUUCAGUUAUUUUUUGUCAAGGUUCAAAUUUCUUGGUGAAGUUAUAGUCAAAGUCCAGUCUGCAGAGAAAAUAAUAAAAAUGUUGGGGUCUAUACAAACGCAUCUGGCAGUCUGUAUUUGGUCCGUGGUCCGCCUGCUUGACUACCUCUGCCCUAGACCCUUUGAACCCCCAGCCAAGAGAUGAUCAGAUGUUUUGUCCACCAAAUGACAGUUUUGAUGGCUUGGUUGAGAGUCUCAAUCAUCCAAUCAACAGAAUAGAGGGUGGAAGCCAAUUUUAGACUUCAGGUCUCUUGACAAAUAUGUAAAGCAACAAAAAUUCAGGACGGUGACUCUGGCAGCAAUAAUUCCUUCAUUAGAAGUAGGAGAUUGGUUUGCAGCUUUCAACCUACAAGAAACGUAUUGUCAUGUCUCUAUUCACCCUUUUCGUUUUCUAAUAACAAACACUGCCAAUACAAGGUGCUCCCUUUAGGCUUAUCUUCAGCACCAAGGAUAUUUUCAAAGAUUCUGGCAGUAGUUGCUGCUCACCUACGGCGUACUCAUUCUGCCAUCUUAGACAAUUGGUUAAUCAGGAGCGGAUCAUAUCAGGAAGUGUUGAUGUCAGUAAAGAUCAUGUGUUCCCAGUUUCACAGCCAGGACCUUGAGGAGCUCAGUGGUUUGAGCAUUGGCGUGCUAAACCCAGGGUUGUGAGUUCAAUCCUUGAGGGGGCCAUUUAGGGAACUGGGGCAAAAAUUGGGGAUUGGCCCUGCUUUGAGCAGGGGGUUGGACUAGAUGACCUCCUGAGGUCCCUUCCAACCCUGAUAUUCUAUGAUUCUAUGAAAUCAACCUUGAAAAGUCCAUUUUGACUCCACUACCAUGUCUAGAUUUCAUAGGAACUUUCUUGGAUGCGGUGACAGGCAGAGCAUAUCUACCAUUGAGCAGAUUUCUCACAUCUCAAAGAUUCAGCAUAUUCCUCAAGUAACAGAAAGAGAUUGACUUCAACUGCUGGGACACAUCAGCUUGUGUCACUGUAGUGCAGCAUGCCUGAUUCAACCUCCAAAUUCGACAGGGAUAGUUUCAGUUUGCAAACCAAGCAAACACAGUCUAGUCAGGUUACUGUCUGUUCUCCAGUGGGUUCUGCAAUCACUCAGUUGGUAUAAAGACCAGACCAAAACCUGUGUAGGUGUUCCGCUCUUGCAAAUUCCCCCUACUGGAGUCAUAAUAUCAGAUGCGUCACUUUUGGGUUGGGUGGGCACAUCCGGGACCUCAUAAGGUAUAAGGAAAGGGACAUUAUAAGAACAGCUUCUCCACAUCAGUCUUUUGGAAUUGAGAGCCAUCAAAAAUGCUUCCUUAUGCUUUCUACCGCUAAUCAAUUUGAAGUCAGUAAAGAUAAUGACAGACAGGCAUUCAUGUAUUAUGUCCGUUGUCAAGGAGGUGCACUUUUCCCAGCAGUCUGUGCGGUAGCAGUAGAACUCUGGAACUGGUGCAUAGCCAGCAACACAGUCAUCUCAGCUUCUUACUUCCCAGGUAUUCAGAACACCAUGGCAGAUGACCUCAGCAUACAUUUCUUUCUGUAUUACGAAUGGGAAUUGAAGAGUCCUCCGCAAGAUAGUCUUACCCUGGGGGUUCCCGCAGGUCAGUCUGUUUGCCAUAGCAGCCAACAGAAAAUGCAUCAGGUAUUGCUCCAUGAGAGGGCUCGAUCCUCAAUGCAUUGGAGGCAUGUUCCUCAUCUCAUAGACAAAAGGACUUCUCGGUCCAUAUCUACUGAUACCAUUAUUAUUAAAGGUUCUCAACAAGAUCGAGCCAGAGUCAUACUGAUCAUACCAAUGUGGCCAAGACAGGUCUGGUAUCCCUAUUUGAUCAGAUUCACUUCUUGCCCUUUGUGGAGGCUAUUGGGCAGUCCUUAUCUACUGACCCACGAUGCCAGUCCAUCACUUCACCCCAACCUGAAGAUCUUGAGGCUACAAGCAUGGUUCCCCAGUGGUUCUCAGUAAUAGCGGUACCCUGUUUGUCAGAGGUACAACAUGUUUUAUUAAAUAGUAGAAAAGAAUCUACAAGAAAUAACUUUAGAAAAUGGAAACAAUAUUAUCUUUGGUGUAACAUUCACCAGAUGUUGCCAACUCGCUCUCCUCUUCCCAGGGUAUUGAAUUCCCUAUUGGAACUGAAAACAUUGGGUCUUUCUCUAAAUUCCAUAACUUUUCACAUAUCCAUAGGGGUUUUUUCACUCUUCACUUACCCAGCUAUGGCAAGAUCUCUAAGGGGUUUAUUGAAUAUCUCCCCUACUCCAAGGUGGGACUUGAACCCAGUACUUACUUGCCUUAUGAAACACCCUUUUGAGCCACUGACUACAUCUUCUUUGGUAAAUUGAUCAACAAAGACAAUCUUCCUGAUAGUAAUAACUUCUGCCUGAAGGGUGAGAAAAUUGGGGGCCUUAAUGGCAGACACAACAUUUACAGUAUUCACCAGAGAGAAAGUGUCAGUACAGGCACUUCCAAGGUUUUUUUUACCUACAGUGUCCUCCGAAUUUUAUAUUAAUCAAACCAUUCCUCUCCCAGAUUUUCCCCCCAAAACCGCACUGGACUACUCAGGAAACCAUAUUUGAUAGCCUAGAUGUCAUGAGGGCGUUAGCCUUCUACAUAGUUAGGACCAAACCAUUUAGAAGAUCCCUUAGACUAUUUAUAUCCAUUGCAGACAAAAACAAGGAUUCAGUAACUUCAAAACAGGUUAUCAAAAUUGAUCUCCGGUUGUAUUAAGAUUUGGUAUGACAGAAGUCAUGUUCAACACCCUUCGAGAGUGGUAGCACGUUCCACAAAAGCAUUAUUUACAUCUAUAGCCUUACUUAAGGAUGUACCAAUUGCAGACAUCUGUAGGGUGGCAACUUGGUCAUCUGAUCAUAUUUUGUUUAAUCAUUAUGCUUUGGUAUCUGCAGCAAGAUCAGAUGCUGCUGUAGGCAAUACAGUUCUCUCUUCAUGUUGGACUCUGCUCCGAACCUGCCACCUCCUUUAAUGGGGGUACUGCUCACAAGUCACCUGAAGUGGAGAACCCCCAGAGACACUACUUGAUGAAGGAGAAAUUCUGAGGACACCUUAGGUAAAAAUCUUGGACGCUUUCUCACCUUGUACAAUAGCUGGAGUUUGAGAUGUUUGGUGCUACACUACCUGCCCUCCUUCCCCUCUGUUUUGGAGUCUCUGUUAUGGGUCUUGGUGGUGGAGAAGGAACUGAAGGUGGCUUACCUGUGCAGCCCCAUAGAACCUUGACACAGGGCACAAGGAUUUGUGGGGUACACAUGCAGGCUGAACGGUCACUGCUACCAGAAAUCUCUGAUCAAAGGUGCAGGGCACAAGCGAACCUGAAGUGGAGCACCAACAAGGGGACAUAUCUCAAAGAACUCCAGUUACUGCUCAAGAUGAGUAACCUCUCCCUCCUUCCUCUGCUAUGUGGCUGGUACAGGUGUGAGCUAUAUAAUUGAUUUGACACACUAAUACUUGAGUGUUAUAUUAAGAACUUCUUAUAUUUUGAAAGUGAAAUUUUGUUGAAUGCUAUAUACAGUACCAAAUAAUGCUUACAACAGUUCUGUACCUUUUGCGUGAAAUAUUUCAGUCUGGGUAACAGUUUUACAAAUAAUAGUUUAAUCUUUAAACUGGUAUCAGCUGAUCUGCACUUGGGUGGGAAGAGGGGAAACCAUGUAUUUUUGCCUCUUUCGGACCAUAAAUCAAGGGCUAGUGCUGGGGAACAUUGUUUUGCCAUGAAAGCACUUGACUUGGUCUGCCAAGGCAUAUUUAGGCAUGGUAAGUUGCUGUUGGUUGAAGGAUGAUUUUGUGGUGAAUGGCAUUAGACUGGGAGUCAAGAGACUUCUGUUCCCAGUUCUACCACUGACUUGCUGGUUAAUCUUGGGAAAAUCAGUCCUUUUGCUUCAGCUUUUGCCAGCUGUAAAAUGGGGAUAAAACUUCCACUUCGCUGUGUUGAGCCUUUUUUCAUAGACUGAUAGCUUUUAAGGUGAGAAUGGGCCAUUAUGGUUCUAGAAUUUCAUCAAGCCCAGUAAUUUGUGCUUGAACUAGAGUGUAUCUUUUGGAAGGUCAUCAAACAUGUCUGUAAAAUGCAUUGAGAUGCAUAAUAAUGUUACUAAUAUUACUGCUUUUCUUCUAUUAUCAGAACUUAAACUCACUUUAUUGCUAUCAUUGUGCUUUUCAGUCCUCAGUUAGGACUUGAUAUUAGUGAUUAUGUCUCAAACUCCAGAAACUAAAAACUAAGGGUCAGAUUUUUAAAAAUGGAUUUCAAAAGUUAUUCCUAAUUUAUAGUUAACAGUUUACACCUAUUUUAAAAAUAUUUCUAAAAUAGUGUGAACAUUGAUUUCUGGUUCUAAAGAUAGUGGCAAUUCUAUCAGAAUUGGUAUAGGAAAAAAAGCAAGAUGAGAAACUGUUGUGAUGUUACUCUGAUAGCUCACAGCUUGCCAGGCUGUAAAUGGAUGUGGCAUAAUAGUAAAUCUGAGAACCAGCCUCUUCUUUCUAAUGUUACGUGGGGCAUUAAAUUCUAGCCCUAAUAUUUCACAAGAUAUCCAGACUUCACUUUAUCACUUGUUCCUUGCUUUUAGUAGUGCUGUUUAGAUGAUGGUCCAAGGCUGAGUAUCAGUUGUCCCAGAUUUUGUACUAGUGCAGUUUUUGUCCCCGGGAAGUCUUAUGCAAACACAUGCCUCCAUCCCAACAAAAUAUGUAUGUUGACUAUUUAUUUGAAACAUCUAUAUUUAAUUUUUUCUGUUUGUUUUUUUAUAAGCUGUCGGGUAAGUCACAUCUAGAUAGACCUAUAAGAUGUAAAGCAUUUGUGGCGUAUGCUACCAUUUAUUAAAGUUGCUUGUGUAUUUUUUGUGGCUAUCUUGAAAUACUGGCUUAGUUCCUUGUUUCAGAUCAAAUUUAGAAUUUUUUUUCUUUCAAGAUUAUAAUAGAAGCUUUAAAUAGUUACUGUGUGCUUAUAUCAUGAUAAAGAAAUAAAUUCUUAUGAAAUGGAAGAGACUGCAUACGCUCGUGAAGGUAGUUCAGGACUUUACUGCAAUAAAAAUAAUUUAUUUCAAAAUAUAGGUCAACUGAGAUACGUAAAAUAAAAUUUGGUCUAAUUUUUUGACCUGUGUGAAUUGGUAUAAAUUAUACACCUGCUGCUAAAUUUGUUUCCUUUUGCCUGUUCUCCUUUUCAUGCAUAUAUGUAUGUAUUCUCAGUAUCUCUAUAGAUAUUUUAAUUUUAAAUUAAGGAUUUAAAAGAUGGGGGUUCUUUGAAUAAAACUUCUUGAUCUUUACAAAGACAUGCAACAUAGCCCUUCCUUGCCCUUCCCCCAGAACAUUCAUGUCAUGGUUUAAGAAGUUGUAGCCCUACAAAGACUUUUCAAAUCUGCUGUCAUUAUUUGGAAGAGGAUAUUAGAAUACUUACUUGAUACCUGCUGCAAAAUGACAGGUUAAAAUUAAAAUGCUAAAAUGCAGAUGAAGAUUGGUUUAAAAACAAAGUUCUACUCUGUCUUAAGAGUACAGAGGGUCAAGAUCCUGAAGCUUUUUUUUUACACGUUCAGGUUGGAAAAAGGCAGUAAUGAAGUCAUUCAUCUUCACCCUGAGGAAUACUUUGCAGAGCAUUGAGCAACAAACAUACUAUUCUCUUAGUGUGAAGGAGAUAGAGCUGAAGCAUGUCUCUCACUAUCAGCAUCCUCAAAAAAAAAAAAUCCAGCUCUUUUCAAAUAAAACAGUGCUCAAUCAACAGUGAUUUUUAACUUUUGAUUUAUGAUGUGGGGGCUAUAAGCACGGAAAAUACUGUUAGUACCUCUGUUUAUAGUAUUGAUAGCAGGGUUUUUAAGUUUGUAGACACUAUAACCCAAAAAGCUCUUUAUUCUGAUAUAAAACUUGUUAUAUGACUGAACUGCAUUUAUGGUGUUUCUCCAAGAUAGAGAAAUAACUGAGUUAAAUGACACCAUUAGUUCUUAUAAUCAGGAAAAGGAUGGGAGUUGUGUGGUAAAAUUAAUGGACAUUGCAGUAAAAUCAGCAAACUUGACACCCACUGAUAUACAAAGUCUGGAAUAAGUUGUUAUAUACUAUACUUCAAAGUAACACCCUGUAACCCCCAUAUUCAUCUUUUGUAUAUCAUUGUGAUAUUUCAUAAAAAGCAUGCCGUGUAAGAUACCAAAGCUGCUGAAACUCAUUGUUCUGUCAAACUGUGUGUAUUGCUAUUGUGUAUGAAGUUUGAGCUUUUGCUGUGUGGCUGAAAUAUGUUGAGAGUUUGGGAGUCGCCCACUGCUAGCUCUCCAGUGACUGAGGGUGGUGACCCACACCCAAGCUGCUAUUAAAACUACAAUUGAUCAGAAUGGUAAAUAAGAAAUCUACAAUUCAAUAAGAGACAGUUACCCAAGAACCACACAGUUAAGAUUGCUCAACUCUCUGACUCAGCAAGGCAUGCCUGGCCAGUUUCUUUUCAGGGACAUGGACUAAGAGUAUAAAAUAAGGGACAGUGACAUCAUGAGACAACCUCUCUCCUCCCCUACUUUCGCCGAAGGCAACAAGAAUUCUGGGAAGACAAAGACUGAGAAGGAAAUUCAGACUGUAUUAAGAACUGCAACCUACCUGCAACAUCCAGUGGGGUGAGAAAAGCAGAUUCAACUCUUGGUUAUGCUUUGUCUACACUACCACUUUUAUCAGUCAGGGGUGUGAAAAAAAAAACGACACCCCUGGCUGACACAGCUAAUGCGCCUCAGUGGGGGUGGUUUAAUUAUGCCAGCAGAAGAGCUUUCUUCUGCUGGCAAAGAGCGACUACAUGGGAGACUUUACAGUAGUACAGAUAUGCCACUGUAAAGUCUGUCAUGGAGAUGUAGUCUCAGUGUAAAAGUUUAGCAUUUAAAAUGUGUGUUUACUUUUUCUCUGACUUGUCUGCCAUGUAAAAAAUCUAUUUUCUGUAGUCAGUAAACUUGUUCUUCUUCGA